GAGCCUACGGGGGGCAGCAGUGGGGAAUAUUGCACAAUGGGGGAAACCCUGAUGCAGCAACGCCGCGUGAAGGAAGACGGUUUUCGGAUUGUAAACUUCUGUUCUUAGUGAAGAAGAAUGACGGUACCUGACCAAGAAGCCCCGGCUAACUACGUGCCAGCAGCCGCGGUAAUACGUAGGGGGCAAGCGUUAUCCGGAAUUACUGGGUGUAAAGGGAGCGUAGACGGUUAAGUAAGUCUGGAGUGAAAGGCCGGGGCCCAACCCCGGGACUGCUCUGGAAAUUAUUGAACUU
RNAcentral lists this ribosomal RNA (292 nucleotides) under uncultured bacterium. RNAcentral describes it as "partial 16S ribosomal RNA". It matches the Rfam family "Bacterial small subunit ribosomal RNA", at positions 335 to 643 of the family's 1533-position model. The record is from RNAcentral.